This 468-nucleotide ribosomal RNA is filed under the name uncultured bacterium. RNAcentral's name for it is "partial 16S ribosomal RNA". It matches the Rfam family "Bacterial small subunit ribosomal RNA", at positions 28 to 507 of the family's 1533-position model. The record is from RNAcentral.
GACGAACGCUGGCGGCGUGCUUAACACAUGCGAGUCGAACGGAAAGGCCCUGCUUUUGUGGGGUGCUCGAGUGGCGAACGGGUGAGUAACACGUGAGUAACCUGCCCUUGACUUUGGGAUAUCUUCAGGAAACUGGGGCUAAUACCGGAUAGGAUCUCCUGCUGCAUGGUGGGCGUUGGAAAGUUUCGGCGGUUGUGGAUGGACUCGCGGCUUAUCAGCUUGUUGGUGGGGUAGUUGCUUACCAAGGCUUUGACGGGUAGCCGGCCUUAGAGGGUGACCGGCCACAUUGGGCCUGAGAUAGGGAGCAGAAUCCUACGGGAGGCAGCAGUGGGGAACAUGGCAGAAUGGGCGGACGCCUGAUGCAGCAACGCCGCGUGCGGGAUGACGGCCUUCGGGUUGUAAACCGAUGUCGCAGGUGACGAAGCGUGAGUGACGGUAAUGGGUAAAGAAGCACCGGCUAACUACGUG